AGAGUUUGAUCCUGGCUCAGGAUGAACGCUGGCGGCGUGCCUAACACAUGCAAGUCGAGCGAACCCUUCGGGGUGAGCGGCGGACGGGUGAGUAACGCGUGGGUAACCUGCCCUGUACACACGGAUAACAUACCGAAAGGUAUGCUAAUACGGGAUAAUAUGUUUUGAUCGCAUGGUCGAGAUAUCAAAGCUCCGGCGGUACAGGAUGGACCCGCGUCUGAUUAGCUAGUUGGUGAGGUAAUGGCUCACCAAGGCGACGAUCAGUAGCCGACCUGAGAGGGUGAUCGGCCACAUUGGAACUGAGACACGGUCCAAACUCCUACGGGAGGCAGCAGUGGGGAAUAUUGCACAAUGGGCGAAAGCCUGAUGCAGCAACGCCGCGUGAGCGAUGAAGGCCUUCGGGUCGUAAAGCUCUGUCCUCAAGGAAGAUAAUGACGGUACUUGAGGAGGAAGCCCCGGCUAACUACGUGCCAGCAGCCGCGGUAAUACGUAGGGGGCUAGCGUUAUCCGGAUUUACUGGGCGUAAAGGGUGCGUAGGCGGUCUUUCAAGUCAGGAGUGAAAGGCUACGGCUCAACCGUAGUAAGCUCUUGAAACUGUAAGACUUGAGUGCAGGAGAGGAGAGUGGAAUUCCUAGUGUAGCGGUGAAAUGCGUAGAUAUUAGGAGGAACACCAGUUGCGAAGGCGGCUCUCUGGACUGUAACUGACGCUGAGGCACGAAAGCGUGGGGAGCAAACAGGAUUAGAUACCCUGGUAGUCCACGCCGUAAACGAUGAGUACUAGCUGUCGGAGGUUACCCCCUUCGGUGGCGCAGCUAACGCAUUAAGUACUCCGCCUGGGAAGUACGCUCGCAAGAGUGAAACUCAAAGGAAUUGACGGGG
RNAcentral lists this ribosomal RNA (879 nucleotides) under uncultured bacterium. RNAcentral describes it as "bacterial SSU rRNA". It matches the Rfam family "Bacterial small subunit ribosomal RNA", at positions 8 to 918 of the family's 1533-position model. The record is from RNAcentral.